GAACGCUGGCGGCGUGCUUAACACAUGCAAGUCGAACGGUAAAGGCCCUGCUUUUGUGGGGUGCUCGAGUGGCGAACGGGUGAGUAACACGUGAGUAACCUGCCCUUGACUUUGGGAUAACUUCAGGAAACUGGGGCUAAUACCGGAUAGGAGCUCCUGCUGCAUGGUGGGGGUUGGAAAGUUUCGGCGGUUGGGGAUGGACUCGCGGCUUAUCAGCUUGUUGGUGGGGUAGUGGCUUACCAAGGCUUUGACGGGUAGCCGGCCUGAGAGGGUGACCGGCCACAUUGGGACUGAGAUACGGCCCAGACUCCUACGGGAGGCAGCAGUGGGGAAUAUUGCACAAUGGGCGGAAGCCUGAUGCAGCAACGCCGCGUGCGGGAUGACGGCCUUCGGGUUGUAAACCGCUUUCGCCUGUGACGAAGCGUGAGUGACGGUAAUGGGUAAAGAAGCACCGGCUAACUACGUGCCAGCAGCCGCGGUGAUACGUAGGGUGCGAGCGUUGUCCGGAUUUAUUGGGCGUAAAGGGCUCGUAGGUGGUUGAUCGCGUCGGAAGUGUAAUCUUGGGGCUUAACCCUGAGCGUGCUUUCGAUACGGGUUGACUUGAGGAAGGUAGGGGAGAAUGGAAUUCCUGGUGGAGCGGUGGAAUGCGCAGAUAUCAGGAGGAACACCAGUGGCGAAGGCGGUUCUCUGGGCCUUUCCUGACGCUGAGGAGCGAAAGCGUGGGGAGCGAACAGGCUUAGAUACCCUGGUAGUCCACGCUGUAAACGGUGGGUACUAGGUGUGGGGUCCAUUCCACGGGUUCCGUGCCGUAGCUAACGCUUUAAGUACCCCGCCUGGGGAGUACGGCCGCAAGGCUAAAACUCAAAGGAAUUGACGGGGCCCCGCACAAGCGGCGGAGCAUGCGGAUUAAUUCGAUGCAACGCGUAGAACCUUACCUGGGUUUGACAUGGAUCGGGAGUGCUCAGAGAUGGGUGUGCCUCUUUUGGGGUCGGUUCACAGGUGGUGCAUGGCUGUCGUCAGCUCGUGUCGUGAGAUGUUGGGUUAAGUCCCGCAACGAGCGCAACCCUUGUUCACUGUUGCCAGCACGUUAUGGUGGGGACUCAGUGGAGACCGCCGGGGUCAACUCGGAGGAAGGUGGGGAUGACGUCAAGUCAUCAUGCCCCUUAUGUCCAGGGCUUCACGCAUGCUACAAUGGCUGGUACAGAGAGUGGCGAGCCUGUGAGGGUGAGCGAAUCUCGGAAAGCCGGUCUCAGUUCGGAUUGGGGUCUGCAACUCGACCUCAUGAAGUCGGAGUCGCUAGUAAUCGCAGAUCAGCAACGCUGCGGUGAAUACGUUCCCGGGGCUUGUACACACCGCCCGUCAAGUCAUGAAAGUUGGUAACACCCGAAGCCGGUGGCCUAACCGUUGUGGGGGAGCCGUCGAAGGUGGGACU
This 1432-nucleotide ribosomal RNA is filed under the name uncultured organism. RNAcentral describes it as "16S ribosomal RNA". It matches the Rfam family "Bacterial small subunit ribosomal RNA". The record is from RNAcentral.